This 261-nucleotide ribosomal RNA is filed under the name Symbiodinium sp. clade D. Its description in RNAcentral is "partial Eukaryotic large subunit ribosomal RNA". It matches the Rfam family "Eukaryotic large subunit ribosomal RNA", at positions 2614 to 2859 of the family's 3401-position model. Lineage: Eukaryota; Dinophyceae; Suessiales; Symbiodiniaceae. The record is from RNAcentral.
GGGGAGUUUGGCUGGGGCGGCAUAUCUGUUAGACCACAACGCAGGUGUCCUAAGCGAGGCUCAGUGUGAACAGGAAUCACACGUGGCGCAUAAGGGUAAACAGCCUCGUUGACUACGUGAUCUUCAGUAUUGAUCCUAGCUGUGAAAGCAUGGCCUUACGAUCCUUUGGUCCCGUAUUAAAUGUUCAAGGUAUUGAAGCCAGAGGUGACAGAAAAAUUACCAUAGGGAUAACUGGCUUGUGGCGGCCAAGCGUUCAUAGCG